CUGUUUCUGUAGUUCACACUGGUCCUUACACAUCACUCCAUCGUCAAAAGAGGUUAGAAAUAAAUGAGCUUCCAAAAGCUAAAAAUUCUGGUUGUAGAGGAUAACCAGUUCUGUGCCAUCUCAUUUCACUUUCCUACAUCAAUGGUCCUAGCACAGAGUGAGAUAGAGGCGACAGAUGAAAUGACUGAAUUGCUGUUGUAAUGUAGCUAUUUUCAACUGCUGAAUAGCAUUUUGAGUUCAGUCAACAUCCAAAAUAGGACAAAAGAAAGUUCAAGGCUGCUCUGAACUACCCCAGAAAUGUUAGGCUGGACUGUCUUUUUGGUUGUCCUUUUCUUCCUCACCUUCUCAGGUCAACCAGUAGAGUCUCUCCUCUGCCUCCACCCUCUUUCCCCCUAAAUGUCUUGACCUGGUUUGUUUGUUUGCCUGAUUGUUUGUUUGUUUGUUUUAUUUCAAAGUGUGAUGACUGGCCAUUUAUGAGGGGAAGAGUGCUGUUCCAUGUUAUUAAGGACAUCUGGAAUGUGUCAAAGUCAGAAUCAUUACAAAUUCAGUGGGAAGGAUGACUGAAUUUACCCCAGCUCCUGCACUUCCAACCUUUCAUCUCAGUGAAGCUGAGUGAAUUUUUUGAGUGCCAGAAGGUUUAACAGUCAUUCCUGGCGGACAACAAACAGGUUUGUUGACCCAGAGUUUUCAAAUUUUAACUAAUGGUCCAUUUGGAGUCAGAGAUGGAAGAAGGAGAUACUUGCAAAACAAGAUGUUUUUCAUGAAGUGUUUUAAUGAAAUUAAACCUAAAAAUUAUACAUUUUCAAUAAAUUUCAUUUCCUGAA
Molecule: long non-coding RNA, 824 nt
Organism: Dromaius novaehollandiae (emu)
Lineage: Eukaryota; Metazoa; Chordata; Aves; Casuariiformes; Dromaiidae
Exons: 3
Source: RefSeq, a predicted model, not a curated record